Molecule: ribosomal RNA, 405 nt
Filed under: uncultured bacterium
Lineage: Bacteria
Description: partial 16S ribosomal RNA
Rfam family: Bacterial small subunit ribosomal RNA
Source: RNAcentral
AUUGAACGCUGGCGGCAGGCUUAACACAUGCAAGUCGAACGAGUGGCGGACGGGUGAGUAAUGCUUGGGAAUCCAGCUUCUGGAUGGGGGUAACUACGGGAAACCGUAGCUAAUACCCCGUACCAUAGGAUGAGCCCAAGUGGGAUUAGGGAGUUGGUGCGGUAAAGGCUCACCAAGCCGACGAUCCCUAGCUGGUCUGAGCGGAUGACCAUCCACACUGGGACUGAGACACGGCCCGAACUCCUACGGGAGGCAGCAGUGGGGAAUAUGGCGGAAUGGGGGCAACCUGACGCAGCCAAGCCGCGUGAAUGAAGAAGACCUGCGGAUUGUAAAGUUCUUUCGGUAGCGAGGCGUUAACUACAGAAGAAGCACCGGCUAACUCCGUGCCAGCCGCCGCGGUAAUUC